AGCAGCCGGUCUAAGUUUCUUGGAACAGGACGUCAUAGAGGGUGAGAAUCCCGUAUGCGACCGGCUGGCACCUUACACGUAGCUCCUUCGACGAGUCGAGUUGUUUGGGAAUGCAGCUCUAAAUGGGAGGUAAAUUUCUUCUAAAGCUAAAUACCGGCCCGAGACCGAUAGCGCACAAGUAGAGUGAUCGAAAGAUGAAAAGCACUUUGGAAAGAGAGUUAAAAAGCACGUGAAAUUGUUGAAAGGGAAGCGCUUGCGACCAGACUUGGGGGCGAUGUUCCGCCGGUCUUCUGACCGGUCCACUCAUCGUCCGCAGGCCAGCAUCAUCUGGGGCCGCCGGAUAAAGGCUUGGGGAAUGUAGCACCCUUCGGGGUGUGUUAUAGCCCCUCGUGCAAUACGGUGCGCCCCGGGUGAGGUCCGCGUCUCGGCGAGGAUGCUGGCGUAAUGGGUGUAAGCGGCCCGUCUUGAAACACGGACCAAGGAGUCGACCAUCUGUGCGAGUGUUCGGGUGUCAAACCCUUGCGCGUAAUGAAAGUGAACGGAGGUGGGAACCCUUACCGGUGCACCAUCGACCGAUCCUGAUGUCUUCGGAUGGAUUUGAGUAAGAGCAUAGCUGGUCGGACCCGAAAGAUGGUGAACUAUGCCUGAAUAGGGUGAAGCCAGAGGAAACUCUGGUG
This 677-nucleotide ribosomal RNA is filed under the name Neodevriesiaceae sp. CPC 19594. RNAcentral describes it as "eukaryotic LSU rRNA". It matches the Rfam family "Eukaryotic large subunit ribosomal RNA", at positions 171 to 869 of the family's 3401-position model. The record is from RNAcentral. Lineage: Eukaryota; Fungi; Ascomycota; Dothideomycetes; Mycosphaerellales; Neodevriesiaceae.